CCCCUACACCAAACCACCCACCCACUGUACCCUACGCCUAAAUAAAAAAUAUAUAUAAAAAUAAAAAAACACAAACCGUUGGCAUUGUCGGCCCCACCAUGGCCACCACACACAUAAUGCCGGAGAAACCACCGGAUCUUAACACCACCAACACCACCUCAUCCCACUCUUCAAACCCAUAACAAAAAACAGUUUAAAUUCUUCGAUUCUAUCAUCUUCAUCCUUCAAUAUCUUCCUUAUUACUACCAUUUUCCGAAACAUCAGUCGAUAAACUAUAUUUUUGCUAUCUUUGAGCAGCCGUUGCCUCUUCCAGCAAACGGCAUGGCUCAAGCCGCCUACAAAUCUAUGAAAAUGUUUCUUGAAUCUCAUCCAGGUCCUUCUCCGGCGAACGAAAUUUUCCAGCACCCAGAUUUCCCACGAAACAGCGUCAGCUUCGCAUUACGCAUAAGCAUCUGGAUUUGCCACCUACAGCAGAGGCUCAAGAAUCGAUCCAACAUGAUGCUCAAUUUGGAUUAAAAUGGGUUCAGAAAAAGGAUUGUUUAAGCGAAAAUAGGAUCUAAAAAAGGGAAUUUUUUAAGUUGAUUACUAAAAAUGAAAUGGGUUUCUUGGAUAGUGAGAUUGAGAGAAGAAGAUGAAAGGGGAAAAGGGUUGAGAAGGUGAAAAAUUGAUUUUCAAACAGCAAAUAAUUAGUUACAAUGUGACUACAUGUAAUAAAGUGAUGGUAGAGGUAACUGGUUGUGGUGACGUUGUCUUGAUGUUUUCCAGCGAAGAGAUGAAGGAGAUGACCGAGAGGAAGAGUUUCGG
This 804-nucleotide long non-coding RNA is filed under the name Olea europaea subsp. europaea. Lineage: Eukaryota; Viridiplantae; Streptophyta; Magnoliopsida; Lamiales; Oleaceae. The record is from RNAcentral.